GGGGGUUUAGCUCAGUUGGCUAGAGCGUGUGACUGGCAGUCACAAGGUCAGGGGUUCGAUUCCCCUAAUCUCCACCA
This 77-nucleotide transfer RNA is filed under the name Bacteroidetes bacterium RBG_13_42_15. RNAcentral's name for it is "tRNA-Ala". It matches the Rfam family "tRNA". Rfam says of the family: Transfer RNA (tRNA) molecules are approximately 80 nucleotides in length. Their secondary structure includes four short double-helical elements and three loops (D, anti-codon, and T loops). Further hydrogen bonds mediate the characteristic L-shaped molecular structure. tRNAs have two regions of fundamental functional importance: the anti-codon, which is responsible for specific mRNA codon recognition, and the 3' end, to which the tRNAs corresponding amino acid is attached (by aminoacyl-tRNA synthetases). tRNAs cope with the degeneracy of the genetic code in two manners: having more than one tRNA (with a specific anti-codon) for a particular amino acid; and 'wobble' base-pairing, i.e. permitting non-standard base-pairing at the 3rd anti-codon position. Lineage: Bacteria; Pseudomonadati; Bacteroidota. The record is from RNAcentral. RNAcentral also lists the same sequence under 2 other names.